This 253-nucleotide ribosomal RNA is filed under the name uncultured bacterium. RNAcentral's name for it is "partial 16S ribosomal RNA". It matches the Rfam family "Bacterial small subunit ribosomal RNA", at positions 524 to 776 of the family's 1533-position model. The record is from RNAcentral.
UACGGAGGGUGCUAGCGUUGUUCGGAAUUACUGGGCGUAAAGGGCGCGUAGGCGGCCGUUUGCGUCGGAUGUGAAAGCCCGGGGCUCAACCUCGGAACGGCAUUCGAUACGGGACGGCUGGAGACCGGGAGAGGAGAGUGGAAUAGCCAGUGUAGAGGUGAAAUUCGUAGAUAUUGGCUGGAACACCGGUGGCGAAAGCGGCUCUCUGGCCCGGUUCUGACGCUGAGGCGCGAAGGCGUGGGGAGCAAACAGG